This is a long non-coding RNA of Cephus cinctus (wheat stem sawfly), 2568 nucleotides long. RefSeq lists it as uncharacterized. NCBI's taxonomy places the organism in Eukaryota, Metazoa, Arthropoda, Insecta, Hymenoptera, Cephidae. The transcript is spliced from 2 exons. The record is from RefSeq and is a predicted model, not a curated record.
AAUAAUACAACUACUAAUAUUCAACUGAAAUAAUAUACAAACCUAAAUAGAACGAGUCCGAUGUAUUCAGGCUAAGUAAAUACCAGUCGCAUUAGUCGAACACAAGAAUAAUCCGUAACCAUCAACGAGGCUUUAUUUAGAUCACAGAUUCUAAAAUUACAUUGGAAAGUGACCUUGGAUAUAAACGUAUAUGAAUUCUCUCAAGGCACGUAGAUACAGCACGGUAUCCGUUAAUAGCUUAUCAUCGCUAUGUAUAUACACACCAAAUUCAUAAAUUUGGCUUGAACGCAUACUUACACCUAAGUGGACGUGGUUACAAAAAUAUGCCAUUACAUACGCGAGCUCUAUGUAACCCUAAAAUACGCCUCUCUAGCAACCCCAGUAUUUCUAGACGAAAUCCUUGCACUAUUAACAAUAAAGAUCUUCUUGAAGACUAAUAAAUCGAUGGUCUAAUUAAAAACAGUAUAAAAUAAAGAUUAAUAAGAGAAAUAAACAUCGGUAUCUCAUACAAGACGAAAGGUAUGUCACUGAGACUGAAUUCUGAUUGGCUGAACGAAUAGUACUUUGAGUACGUAAUUGGUUGACGGCGUAGGAGUAGGGAGGAAGGAGUCCGUUAGAAAUUAAUACAGCAUUUGUAAAAUAGAGAGACAUAAAUAAUAGACUAACUAAAGCAGUGAAUCUUAUGUUACGAUCUACGCUAAGCAGAAGGGGAAAGCAUGCCUGUUUUAAGUGGAGGGAGAAGAUUAGUGACCUAGUAAUGUCUGUACAACGACCUUCGUAGCAUAAAUGCUCAUUCGAGUAGUGACUCUCGAGGAAGAGAGUUGGGUAGGGUUGGGAUAUCGGUGUAUUCGUAGGUUAGGAGAGGAUGGAUGGUACGAUAGCCUGUUACGUCACUCCUUCACCAUACAACUUUACCUCCUGCUUAUGGGCAAGAUGGCCGCGGGAGGCUGCUGGGAAUUCCUGGACAAGGAGACCAGCCGGGAGAGAGUGAUACAUACAAAACACCGACAGCUCGUGUGAUAGCCCGUUACGUCACAGACGGAACAACUGGUUGGUCUGAGGAGGGGACGAUGGGGGAAUUCCCUGGGUUACGGGAUCGCGGGUGUAAUGCCGCCGCCGUCUCCCAUCUCCGGACGUCACGACGAAAGGAUAGCCGGAGAAGGAGUAAGCGAGAGAGAAUAAUGUAUACAAAACACAAGGUCAACGAUGUGACUGUAUAGAUAUAGUAUAUGCUGUAUAUAUAUGUGUAAACAUUAUGGCGUAGAAUGUGCUGUGGGGGCGUUCGACGUAGCCACCCUUAUACAUUCCCACUUCUCUAUAUGUACGUACCAUACCUAGUGUUACCUUUGACUUUCUACCUCGAUCCAUCCAGAGUCUCUGACCUACAUAAUCACCCUUCCUUCACAGGUAGUUUCAGAGUACUGAGCAACAUGUGUUACGCAGGGUACUUAGGAUGUCAAUAUGAGUAAUGUAUGAAUUACAUUGUAUGUACAUAGGAUUGGGUAAGUUUUCCUUAUGCUUAUGAGCAAGUUGAAAUAAUUUUAUUAACAAUAUUCCACGUUUCAUACCUAGUGGAGUGGCUUAUGUUUGUCAUGAAAUUUUCAGUGAGGCUAUUUCCAGCAGGGACUUAGGUUCUUUCUACUGGAGCAAAAGCUUCUACCAGUGAAGUCUGAAUUUUUUAGGUGUGUUUUAACGUAUUCCAUUGACAAGCUGCUGUACCAGGACUGGUUUCUAGGUAGAGUCUAUACGUACUGUACUAUGCCACGGUUGUAUGGCUUUCUCCCUCUCUCUACGGGUAGUCCAGGGUAACCCGAGGGUCAGAGGUUCCCUUUGUCGCCUUUCAAUCUACCCUCAUAGUAUACACUAGCUGGCUUCCCUCUUCGUACCCUCGUAUAGCGUUUAGUUUCGUAUGCGCAGCUGCUACGGAAACGCACUUUUUCAAAGUCUCCCUUCUAACGUGAAACCUUACCAUUUUCUGCUGGUCCGUACAGAACCGUACUGAAGCCGAACCCCUAAAUGGCCUUUAGGGGGCUUUACAGAUGCGAAAAUGAAAAUCCUGCUGGGACACACAGCUAUCCUGUGUUACUGUAUUUCCAUAAGUUUUGAAAACUCCAGGAAAAUGGUUCUAUUAGGUCUGUUAUAUUUAUACGAGAUAUUUCAAUAUUUAUUUUUAAAAGAUCUCAACACUGAAGAGAAUAAACGUUGAGGAUUCAUUACAGUAAAAUAUCCGUUCGCUCUGUACCCUCUAUGACGAUCACUGCAGGCAUAUAAGAGUUUCUAGAAGUAAAGCUGGCCACUAAAUUAUAAAACAUAAACCCGACGGACACGAUUACCCAGGUCGGUCGAUAUCCAGCACUGCACUAUCCAAUAUCAGAAACCUGAACAAUGACGUUAUGAAACUUUACACUAAAAUAGUAAAGACAUUAUCGGAAAAUCAAUCUUUCCCCCUUUUAUACAUUUUUAAUUCUAUUUCAUGAGAAACCAAGUGUUCAGGAUUAUCAAAACUAAAACUCAAUACUGAUAAAAAAUGAAAUUGUCAUUUCCACUAAUUUAUAUUCUUUAAAAGAA